Haliotis rufescens (red abalone) is the source of this 1456-nucleotide long non-coding RNA. RefSeq lists it as uncharacterized. The transcript is spliced from 2 exons. The record is from RefSeq and is a predicted model, not a curated record. Lineage: Eukaryota; Metazoa; Mollusca; Gastropoda; Lepetellida; Haliotidae.
UAUUAAAGACAUGUUUCAAGAAAAAAACAAUCAACUGUCGCCGAUCAAGAAUCAGCUGUUUUGUAUCAAUCCGCGUGUGAAAAAACACUGUCCACUCAUUCCAACCGCAUUACUCAUUUAACGUGUUUUUACGCGUGAAAAACAUAGUUCUGUUAAAAAAUUGUAAAGAUCACAUUAUUGCAGUUAUAUUUCUGUCCGAUUUAAACAGCGUACACUAUCUAGCACUGAUAAAGAAGACAGGUUUCCAAAAAGGUUCGUCAGGUUUUUUAAUCAAAGCUUGUUUUGACAAAAUCUCGUCACUGACAGACAGCCCCGUCGUGCAUCGGCAGAUACAUGCAUUUCACAUUGAGAAGAGGAAACAUGGAAAACUUGUCAAUUUUUUUAUGUGUCAUUUGACAAAAAUGCCAAAACCUAUAACAACAACAUAGACGGAAUGUACAGAAGUCUUAUUUGUUAGAGAAAAGUUACGAAAAGAAGGUAAACUUUGAAAAGUAUGAUUGCUGUCACAGUGUCGGAAUGAAUGACCCGACUUGACCCAGAUAUGAGACAGCCGAAACCAGGAAUGACAAGAGAACCGGCGUUACAGUUUAAUCCGAACAAGUUUAAAGAACAUCGUGUGUGAUUUGAGACAAGUGUCACUGAUUGGAAACAUGUGCAUGUGGGAUUUCAGGAGGAUUUGUCAAACGCGGAGUGGACACAGUCAGAUGACGGGAGUUUGUUGAUAUUUUGAUGUGAUUCAUAAUGGUCGAAUACCUGUUGAUAGACAAUCACGGUAUCUGGAGACUUGGUGCUAAGCUGUCCGCAUUCACGGAGUUCAUUUAGUUCAGUGUCGGACACAGGAUCAGCUCGCUGGGUUAUCGAUGUCAUCAUCGUUCACAAAGGCAAACCUGUCUGUACAAAGUCCGACUUUUGGAUUCGGCCGGUCGAAAAAUUCAUCAAACAGCAAGCCCUCUAACACAGACGCAAACCAGGACUUGGUGGUGAUGAUCUUGGCGCCCUAGAGACAGUUUCUGGCAACAUCACAAUCUGAAUCUUGGAACUUCAAUCUGGCCAUAUGCAGUUUUGACAACAAAGACAUUAAAUGUGUUCAGAGGUUGAAUUAUACGAAUAACUUUUCAUGUCAGUCAGAUCUCCGAGGUCAUUUACUUUGACAGGUCUCAAAUGGCCAGCCAUGUUUGUUUACAAACGGGGACGUAGUUUUGGUUUUUACUGUAAAAUGAAAAUCAUGUGAAAUAAAUGAAAAAAUUGAUAAUGUGAAAUCAUGUUGUUAAUAUGAAACUAUGUGUCUUGUCUUAAAAAUCCCGAAUCAGUGAGAUUGUAGCACGUAAAACAUCUGAAGGGAAAGGCGUGGAUUUGUGAAAGAAUGGGAUGAGAGAAAAAAUAGUUCCGUUGUCCAAUGAAAAUUGAUCUUUGUUCCACUGACCAAUCAGCUUCGAGAAUCACUAAUUGCACACUG